UCUUAUCAAGAGUGGUGGAGGGACUGGCCCUGUGAAACCCAGCAACCUUUAAUAGGUGUGAUAGGCUUAAUUUUUAUUGAGCUAAAUUACUCAUAUUAAGUUUGGUGCUAAAUCCUGCAGCUUUAAAGCUGAUAGAUGAGA
Molecule: non-coding RNA, 141 nt
Filed under: uncultured Clostridium sp.
Lineage: Bacteria; Bacillati; Bacillota; Clostridia; Eubacteriales; Clostridiaceae
Description: SAM riboswitch (S box leader)
Rfam family: SAM riboswitch aptamer (S box leader)
About the family: The SAM riboswitch is found upstream of a number of genes which code for proteins involved in methionine or cysteine biosynthesis in Gram-positive bacteria.
Source: RNAcentral